This 496-nucleotide ribosomal RNA is filed under the name uncultured eukaryote. RNAcentral's name for it is "bacterial SSU rRNA". It matches the Rfam family "Eukaryotic small subunit ribosomal RNA", at positions 62 to 549 of the family's 1831-position model. The record is from RNAcentral.
GGUCUAGUCUUACCUCUGCACGGUGAGACCGCGAAUGGCUCAUUAAAUCCGUUAUGGUUCCUUUGAUCGUUCUUCUUUACCUGGGGAACAGCGGGGAUUCUCUAGCUCAUACAUGCGAAAAGCUCCCACCGCGUGGCAGGAGCGCUUUUAUUACACCAAAACCAAAGGGGUCGCAAGAUCCCUUUGUCUGGUGACUCUGGAUAACUUUGUGCUGAUCGCCUGGACUUGAGCCGGCGACGUAUCUUUCACGUGUCUGCCCUAUCAGCUUUCGAUGGGAAGCGAUUUGCCUACCAUGGUUGUAACGGGUAACGGGGAAUCAUGGUUCGAUUCCGGACAGGGAGCAUGAGAAAUGGCUACCACAUCUACCGAAGGCAGCAGGCGCGCAAAUUACCCACUCCUAGAACGGGGAGGUAGUGACGAAUAAUAACAAUACCGGACUCAAUGACGCUCGGUAAUUGAAAUGAGUACAGUUUAAAACCCUUAACGAGGAUCUAUU